ACUCUAAUGAGACUGCCGGUGACAAACCGGAGGAAGGUGGGGAUGACGUCAAGUCCUCAUGGCCCUUAUAGGUGGGGCUACACACGUCAUACAAUGGCUGGUACAAAGGGUUGCCAACCCGCGAGGGGGAGCUAAUCCCACAAAGCCAGUCGUAGUCCGGAUCGCAGUCUGCAACUCGACUGCGUGAAGUCGGAAUCGCUAGUAAUCGUGGAUCAGAAUGUCACGGUGAAUACGUUCCCGGGUCUUGUACACACCGCCCGUCACACCAUGGGAGCGGGUUCUGCCAGAAGUAGGUAGCCUAACCGUAAGGAGGGCGCUUACCACGGCAGGGUUCGUGACUGGGGUGAAGUCGUAACAAGGUAGCCGUAUCGGAAGGUGCGGCUGGAUCACCUCCUUU
This 397-nucleotide ribosomal RNA is filed under the name Hydrogenophaga sp. Its description in RNAcentral is "bacterial SSU rRNA". It matches the Rfam family "Bacterial small subunit ribosomal RNA", at positions 1137 to 1533 of the family's 1533-position model. The record is from RNAcentral. Lineage: Bacteria; Pseudomonadati; Pseudomonadota; Betaproteobacteria; Burkholderiales; Comamonadaceae.